RNAcentral lists this ribosomal RNA (533 nucleotides) under uncultured bacterium. RNAcentral describes it as "bacterial SSU rRNA". It matches the Rfam family "Bacterial small subunit ribosomal RNA", at positions 1 to 530 of the family's 1533-position model. The record is from RNAcentral.
ACCCGGGUGGCGGCCGCUCUAGCCCGAGUUUGAUCCUGGCUCAGGACGAACGCUGGCGGCGGGCCUAACACAUGCAAGUCGCAGGAGAAGUUCAUCUUCGGAUGGAUGGAGACUGGCGCACGGGUGAGUAACGCGUAGACAACCUGCCUAUGACACGGGGAUAACCAUUGGAAACGGUGGCUAAUACCCGAUAAUGCAGCGGGCCCCGCAUGGGGACAGUUGUUAAAGCCUUUGGGUGGUUAUAGAUGGGUCUGCGUGCUAUUAGUUAGUUGGUAGGGUAAUGGCCUACCAAGCCGACGAUCCAUAUCUGGUUUGAGAGGAUGAUCAGCCACACUGGGACUGAGACACGGCCCAGACUCCUACGGGAGGCAGCAGUGGGGAAUCUUGGACAAUGGGGGCAACCCUGAUCCAGCCAUGCCGCGUGAUCGAUGAAGGCCUUAGGGUUGUAAAGAUCUUUCGCUGGGGAAGAUAAUGACGGUACCCGGAGAAGAAGCCCCGGCUAACUCCGUGCCAGCCGCCGCGGUAAUUCGGGC